Molecule: ribosomal RNA, 512 nt
Filed under: Enterococcus faecium
Lineage: Bacteria; Bacillati; Bacillota; Bacilli; Lactobacillales; Enterococcaceae
Description: partial 23S ribosomal RNA
Rfam family: Bacterial large subunit ribosomal RNA
Source: RNAcentral
GAUAAGGUUAAGUGAAUAAGGGCGCACGGUGGAUGCCUUGGCACUAGGAGCCGAUGAAGGACGGGACUAACACCGAUAUGCUUUGGGGAGCUGUACGUAAGCUAUGAUCCAGAGAUUUCCGAAUGGGGGAACCCAGCAUCUUUAAUAGGAUGUUACGAUUGUGUGAAUACAUAGCACAUUCGAGGUAGACGCAGAGAACUGAAACAUCUAAGUACCUGCAGGAAGAGAAAGAAAAUUCGAUUCCCUGAGUAGCGGCGAGCGAAACGGGAAAAGCCCAAACCAACAAGCUUGCUUGUUGGGGUUGUAGGACUCCAAUAUGGUCGUUCUUUCAGAUAGUCGAAUGACUUGGAAAAGUCAGUCAAAGAGGGUAAAAACCCCGUAGACGAAAUGUGGAAGACACCUAGGAGGAUCCUGAGUACGGCGGAACACGAGAAAUUCCGUCGGAAUCCGGGAGGACCAUCUCCCAAGGCUAAAUACUCCCUAGUGACCGAUAGUGAACCAGUACCGUGAGG